GACGAACGCUGGCGGCGUGCCUAAUACAUGCAAGUAGAACGCAGUUGCGAACGGGUGAGUAAAGCGUAGGUAACUACCUAUUAGAGGGGGAUAACCAUUGGAAACGAUAGCAAAUACCGCCUACUAGUAGAUUGACCUGCGUUGUAUUAACUAGUAGGUAGGGUAAUGGCCUACCUAGGCAAAGAUACAUUGCCGACCUGGGAGGGUGGUCCGCCAAACUUGGACUGGGGCACGGCCCAGACUCCUUCGGGAGGCAGCAGUAGGGGAUCUUCGGAAAUGGGGGGAAACCUGACCGAGCAAAUGCGCGUGAGUUAAGAAGGGUUUCGGAUCGUAAAGCUCUGUUGUUAAGGAAGCGGUACUUAACCAGAAAGGGACGGCUAACUACGUGCCAGCCGCCGCGGUAAUUC
This 407-nucleotide ribosomal RNA is filed under the name uncultured bacterium. RNAcentral describes it as "partial 16S ribosomal RNA". It matches the Rfam family "Bacterial small subunit ribosomal RNA", at positions 28 to 526 of the family's 1533-position model. The record is from RNAcentral.